UAGGACAGGGUGUGAUGGGUAGCAUGGAGAACUUUGGAUUCUCAGGGAUAGGUUCAAUUCCUAUGAUUCUAG
This is a transfer RNA of Chlorocebus sabaeus (green monkey), 72 nucleotides long. It matches the Rfam family "tRNA". From Rfam's summary of the family: Transfer RNA (tRNA) molecules are approximately 80 nucleotides in length. Their secondary structure includes four short double-helical elements and three loops (D, anti-codon, and T loops). Further hydrogen bonds mediate the characteristic L-shaped molecular structure. tRNAs have two regions of fundamental functional importance: the anti-codon, which is responsible for specific mRNA codon recognition, and the 3' end, to which the tRNAs corresponding amino acid is attached (by aminoacyl-tRNA synthetases). tRNAs cope with the degeneracy of the genetic code in two manners: having more than one tRNA (with a specific anti-codon) for a particular amino acid; and 'wobble' base-pairing, i.e. permitting non-standard base-pairing at the 3rd anti-codon position. The record is from Rfam. NCBI's taxonomy places the organism in Eukaryota, Metazoa, Chordata, Mammalia, Primates, Cercopithecidae.